RNAcentral lists this ribosomal RNA (452 nucleotides) under uncultured bacterium. RNAcentral describes it as "bacterial SSU rRNA". It matches the Rfam family "Bacterial small subunit ribosomal RNA", at positions 29 to 526 of the family's 1533-position model. The record is from RNAcentral.
AACGAACGCUGGCGGCAGGCUUAACACAUGCAAGUCGAGCGCAUCCUUCGGGGUGAGCGGCAGACGGGUGAGUAACGCGUGGGAAUCUACCCUGAACUACGGAAUAGCUCCGGGAAACUGGGAUUAAUACCGUAUGUGUCCUGAGGGACAAAGGUUUACCGGUUUGGGAUGAGCCCGCGUCGGAUUAGCUAGUUGGUGGGGUAACGGCCUACCAAGGCGACGAUCCAUAGCUGGUCUGAGAGGAUGAUCAGCCACAUUGGGACUGAGACACGGCCCAAACUCCUACGGGAGGCAGCAGUGGGGAAUAUUGGACAAUGGGCGCAAGCCUGAUCCAGCCAUGCCGCGUGAGUGAUGAAGGUCUUAGGAUUGUAAAGCUCUUUCGGCGGGGACGAUAAUGACGGUACCCGCAGAAGAAGCCCCGGCUAACUUCGUGCCAGCCGCCGCCGUAAAAC